RNAcentral lists this unclassified non-coding RNA (2010 nucleotides) under Drosophila mojavensis. Its description in RNAcentral is "GI18266". Lineage: Eukaryota; Metazoa; Arthropoda; Insecta; Diptera; Drosophilidae. The record is from RNAcentral.
AGAAAUCAAAACAAAUAGAUAUAAUAAUAUUAAAAUUAUAAUUUUUAAAAGACAAUAUCAUAUUUGGAGACUAAUAUGGCAAACACAAUAUCCAUAAUGUCUAAUGCGUUACGAAAUGUUGUGAGCAAAAAACGCAUACGAUACAAGGAAAAAGGAUUUAAUUUGGAUCUUUCAUACAUUUGCCCGAAAAUAAUUGCGAUGGGAUAUCCUGCUCCGGACAUUAUUGAAGGCAUUUACAGAAAUCGCCUAGAGGAUGUUUAUAAAUUUAUGGAAGAAAAUCAUGGAGGGCAUUACAGAAUAUACAAUCUGUGUCAAGAACGGAGUUAUGACAUUAAUAAAUUUCAUGGGAAUGUUGCAACAUACCCGUUUGAGGAUCACAAUCCUCCUCCUAUUGUACUGAUGCAACGUUUUUGCCAAGACGUUGAAUCCUGGCUUAAUAGAGAUCCGUUAAAUGUCGUAGCUGUGCAUUGUAAAGCUGGAAAGGGAAGAACCGGUACUAUGAUAUGUGCAUACUUGGUUCAUAGUAAGUUCUUGAAUACAGCAGAUGAAGCUUUGGCUUUUUAUGAUGAAAAACGUACAAUAGAUCGGAAAGGUGUUACAAUUCCAUCUCAACGUAGAUAUGUUCAGUAUUAUUCAAAUUUAAUCCCAGAUAUACAUUAUGAAGUAGUCAGUCUUUACAUUUCUGAAAUCCGAUUUGCUGAGGCAAAUUACCUGCAUAAUCUUGGUACAGUGCAAUGUUCAAUUUCCGACAGGCAAGAGUCUGCAUCAGAGAAACUUAAGGCGCAUGAACUGAAAACAUGGCCAAUUGAUUUCCAAAAAACUUCAAUAUUGGACUUAACUAGUUCGCCUUUGAUGGUUUCUGGUGAUAUCAAAGUCGAACUUACUCAAAAGUCAUCAAGAAAGAUGAUUUGCAGUUUUUGGGUUAAUACAUUCUUUAUGCAAAAUGAUGCGGCUCGCAUUCUUGAUGGAAAUACCGUAAAGUUUAUGCAUACCUUAAAUAAAUCCGAGAUUGAUGGUGCACAUAAAGACAAAGACCAUAAAUCGUUUUCGGAGGACUUUAAGAUCUCUCUCGUAUUUAUAAAUGAAGAAAAACGCUCUGACAGUAUAAUCGCUGAAUCCUCAAUAGAUAACAGUAGGAGCAAUAAUCAAAGCUCAGAAAAUCUUCCUGGUGAUAAUAAUACGAAUCUAAGCAGUGAGGGUUCAGUUUUAAACUCUCCGUCCUCAAGUCGUUUGUUUGAAGGUCCAUUUCAUACCAGUGAUGAAAGAAGUGAGGGGCAAUCUCACCUAACAGCACAGAGCAGAAAACUAACUAAAAAUCAACAUAAAAAAUCAACUAUCUCAAAAUAUCCUGCAAUGGCAUCUAAACGCAAACAAUCCUCUUCAAAAUGCCUACUAGGUGCUAAUAAUACCUCGUCAGGCAAGGACAACAAAAAACAGCAUAUUUUUAAUCAACCGUCCCGUAAACAAAUCGAAAUGGUGCCUAAUAAUUGGCCCAGUAACAUCUAUGGAAAAGCCUCAGAGGGUCUACAUAUAUUUGAUCGAUGUAAUAUUUCCAAUAUUUCUGGCGGAGAACAGAAUUCACACAAUACUUACAAACGAUCAUCUUCUGAUUCAAAUCAAAGUGGUGAAGAAGGAGACGAGGAUUGGGAAUCCGCCAUACGACGUGUCACCAAAUCAUGCGAUUUCAUCGUCCACCGCACUUUAAAUGCUAUGAAAUAAAUUAAAAAUAAUCCAAAGAACAGAACGUCUCAUUUAAAAGCUUAGGUUAUGUAGCAGCCAAAAUUGUGGACUUAAUAUCACUAUUGAUCUUAAUUUUCAUAGCUAUGGAGGUAGCUACGUCCGGCACUACGUAAGGAGUCAUAUACCAAAGUGUUCUACUGUAAGAACUGAAACGUCAGAUUCAUCAGUAUAUGUGAUAUUUAUCCGGAGUGAUAUCUACAUCAACCAUGACAAGAGGUGAUAACUCACCACUCCACACUUUUUGGCUGCCAUUAUGUUAUUUAUUUAUUU